GAUGAAGAACGUAGUGAAAUGCGAUAAGUAAUGUGAAUUGCAGAAUUCAGUGAAUCAUCGAAUCUUUGAACGCACAUUGCGCCCAUCAGUAUUCUGUUGGGCAUGCCUGUCCGAGCGUCAUUUCAACCCUCAGGGCCCGUUCGCGGGAACUGGUGUUGGGGAUCGGCCUCCCCCCGGAGGCCGGCCCCGAAAUGCAGUGGCGGCUCUACCGCGAUCUCCUCUGUGUAGUAGCGAUACCUCGCAGCUGGAUAGUGGUGGUGCCACGCCGUAAAAUCCCAACUUUACCAAGGUUGACCUCGGAUCAGGUAGGAAUACCCGCUGAACUUAAGCAUAUCAAUAAGCGGAGGA
Molecule: unclassified non-coding RNA, 348 nt
Filed under: soil metagenome
Description: partial contains 5.8S ribosomal RNA, internal transcribed spacer 2, and large subunit ribosomal RNA
Rfam family: 5.8S ribosomal RNA (bases 1-120)
Source: RNAcentral